Triplophysa dalaica is the source of this 792-nucleotide long non-coding RNA. RefSeq lists it as uncharacterized. The transcript has 2 exons. Lineage: Eukaryota; Metazoa; Chordata; Actinopteri; Cypriniformes; Nemacheilidae. The record is from RefSeq and is a predicted model, not a curated record.
GUAACUGCUCAAGUGUCUGCAUGUUAUAUAAAAGUGAAUGGCACUCAUUAAUGUCCUUUAUUGUUUUAGACACCACUAAUUUGGGAUCCUUAAACACAUUAUCUUCUGGAAUGGCUAAACUGUUAAUGAAAAUCUACUUCUGAGAUAAUAUGAGCUUUAAAAUUUGUUUCCAUCUUUAUGAUAUACAUCUUUGACAUGGGAUUAUUCACUUAAUAUUUGACCUUACUUUUUAAUUAAUUUGGCAGAAGUCCUCCAAUCCACCAUCAGCGAGACCGAACUCCUCCAGUCCAGCUACAGAUAAGCCCCACAGCUGCUGACCCAUUUCAGAGAAGGAAUGACCCAAAACGACCACUAAAUCCUCAACUUUUUCUUGACACUUCUGCGGUGAGAAAAAUUCCCUAACAAAAAAAACGGUCAUAUCCAGAGAUGGCUUCAGCUUGCUCCGGAUUGGGAUGGAGGAAGAAGAGAACGGCUGAAGAGAAAGGAGAUGAUAAAUAGCUGUGCCUCUCAUUUAGAGCCAUAAUAGCUUAUGCGUGCGAACACAUACGAAAUACAUUCAUUUCCUUUUCAUGUGCACACACGCAGUUAUGUGUUAUGUUGUUUAUAAAGUUUAAUUUUGUCUUUCUUUGGUUUAUAACGUUUUCAUUUAGUCCGUAUUCGGUUUCAUUUUUUCAAGUGUUAAGGUACUGUUCAUUUAAAGUCUAAAGGUUUCCGUUUUACAUAAAAAUAUGUUCAACACAAUGUGUUCACUUUAUUUUUAUUUGUAAAUAAAAAAUGUUUAUUGAAAAACAA